Molecule: non-coding RNA, 629 nt
Organism: Xyrichtys novacula (pearly razorfish)
Lineage: Eukaryota; Metazoa; Chordata; Actinopteri; Labriformes; Labridae
Source: the annotation of a GenBank genome assembly
GAGCCACGCCCUCAACCAAAACGCCACUCUAUAGCCACAAAUAAUGCUCAGAACAGCACCUAACUUCAUCAACAGGACAUAUAGGGUCACAGACAUAGUACUAGACACCAAACAUCUUUUUAACUUUGACUCAUUUCUUUAACAAAGAGACUAAACACAACUCACCUACUCUCUUCCAGCAGACGCUUGUUUGUAGCGAGACCUCAGGCCAGUCCAUUACAGACUACAGCGGGGUGCCGCAGCUCAAGGAAGAACAUUUAUGAUCAUUUUUUCAUGGAAAUACAAUCAGACCGAGACGCUAAGACAGAAGAACUACUGAGUCUGUAAAAUGAUUAAUAUGGUGAUUAUUACUUCAAGGAAAUGAUAAAGAAAUGAUCAUAAAUGUUCUUCCUUGAGCUGCGGCACCCCGCUGUAGUCCGUGUCUGUGACCCUAUAUGUCCUGUUGAUGAAGUUAGGUGCUGUUCUGAGCAUUAUUUGUGGCUAUAGAGUGGCGUUUUGGUUGAGGGCGUGGCUCUCUGUAUUUCUAUCCUGCGGUCGUUACUAAAGUUGGUAUAACUAGAGAAGGAAGCGGUCGACAACAUUCAUCUCUGGAGGGGGGUCUAACUCGGUGUUACGGUGGGUUUGACCCU